This 501-nucleotide ribosomal RNA is filed under the name uncultured bacterium. RNAcentral's name for it is "bacterial SSU rRNA". It matches the Rfam family "Bacterial small subunit ribosomal RNA", at positions 24 to 518 of the family's 1533-position model. The record is from RNAcentral.
UCAGGAUGAACGCUAGCUACAGGCUUAACACAUGCAAGUCGAGGGGUAACAGGAGAGAAGCUUGCUUUCUUGCUGACGACCGGCGCACGGGUGAGUAACGCGUAUCCAACUCCCUAGUAGCGGAUAGCCCGGCGAAAGUCGGAUUAAUACGCUAUGUUCUUCGUUGAUGGCAUCUGAUGUGAAGCAAAGAUUUAUCGCUAAGGGAUGGGGAUGCGUCUGAUUAGGUAGUCGGCGGGGUAACGGCCCACCGAGCCAUCGAUCAGUAGGGGUUCUGAGAGGAAGGUCCCCCACACUGGUACUGAGACACGGACCAGACUCCUACGGGAGGCAGCAGUGAGGAAUAUUGGUCAAUGGGCGCGAGCCUGAACCAGCCAAGUAGCGUGCAGGAAUGACUGCCCUAUGGGUUGUAAACUGCUUUUAUCAGGGAAUAAAGUGAGGCACGUGUGCCUUUUUGUAUGUACCUGAUGAAUAAGGACCGGCUAAUUCCGUGCCAGCAGCGGC